Molecule: ribosomal RNA, 389 nt
Filed under: uncultured bacterium
Lineage: Bacteria
Description: bacterial SSU rRNA
Rfam family: Bacterial small subunit ribosomal RNA
Source: RNAcentral
GAUGACGGUACCGGAAGAAUAAGCACCGGCUAACUACGUGCCAGCAGCCGCGGUAAUACGUAGGGUGCGAGCGUUAAUCGGAAUUACUGGGCGUAAAGCGUGCGCAGGCGGUUUUGUAAGACAGGCGUGAAAUCCCCGAGCUCAACUUGGGAAUGGCGCUUGUGACUGCAAGGCUAGAGUAUGUCAGAGGGGGGUAGAAUUCCACGUGUAGCAGUGAAAUGCGUAGAGAUGUGGAGGAAUACCGAUGGCGAAGGCAGCCCCCUGGGACGUCACUGACGCUCAUGCACGAAAGCGUGGGGAGCAAACAGGAUUAGAUACCCUGGUAGUCCACGCCCUAAACGAUGUCAACUAGUUGUUGGGGAUUCAUUUCUUCAGUAACGUAGCUAACG